Molecule: ribosomal RNA, 1343 nt
Filed under: uncultured bacterium
Lineage: Bacteria
Description: 16S ribosomal RNA
Rfam family: Bacterial small subunit ribosomal RNA
Source: RNAcentral
GACGAACGCUGUCGGCGUGCUUAACACAUGCAAGUCGAACGGAAAGGCCCUGCUUUUGUGGGGUGCUCGAGUGGCGAACGGGUGAGUAACACGUGAGUAACCUGCCCUUGACUUUGGGAUAACUUCAGGAAACUGGGGCUAAUACCGGAUAGGAGCUCCUGCUGCAUGGUGGGGGUUGGAAAGUUUCGGCGGUUGGGGAUGGACUCGCGGCUUAUCGGCUUGUUGGUGGGGUAGUGGCUUACCAAGGCUUUGACGGGUAGCCGGCCUGAGAGGGUGACCGGCCACAUUGGGACUGAGAUACGGCCCAGACUCCUACGGGAGGCAGCAGUGGGGAAUAUUGCACAAUGGGCGGAAGCCUGAUGCAGCAACGCCGCGUGCGGGAUGACGGCCUUCGGGUUGUAAACCGCUUUCGCCUGUGACGAAGCGUGAGUGACGGUAAUGGGUAAAGAAGCACCGGCUAACUACGUGCCAGCAGCCGCGGUGAUACGUAGGGUGCGAGCGUUGUCCGGAUUUAUUGGGCGUAAAGGGCUCGUAGGUGGUUGAUCGCGUCGGAAGUGUAAUCUUGGGGCUUAACCCUGAGCGUGCUUUCGAUACGGGUUGACUUGAGGAAGGUAGGGGAGAAUGGAAUUCCUGGUGGAGCGGUGGAAUGCGCAGAUAUCAGGAGGGACACCAGUGGCGAAGGCGGUUCUCUGGGCCUUUCCUGACGCUGAGGAGCGAAAGCGUGGGGAGCGAACAGGCUUAGAUACCCUGGUAGUCCACGCUGUAAACGGUGGGUACUAGGUGUGGGGUCCAUUCCACGGGUUCCGUGCCGUAGCUAACGCUUUAAGUACCCCGCCUGGGGAGUACGGCCGCAAGGCUAAAACUCAAAGGAAUUGACGGGGCCCCGCACAAGCGGCGGAGCAUGCGGAUUAAUUCGAUGCAACGCGUAGAACCUUACCUGGGUUUGACAUGGAUCGGGAGUGCUCAGAGAUGGGUGUGCCUCUUUUGGGGUCGGUUCACAGGUGGUGCAUGCCUGUCGUCAGCUCGUGUCGUGAGAUGUUGGGUUAAGUCCCGCAACGAGCGCAACCCUUGUUCACUGUUGCCAGCACGUUAUGGUGGGGACUCAGUGGAGACCGCCGGGGUCAACUCGGAGGAAGGUGGGGAUGACGUCAAGUCAUCAUGCCCCUUAUGUCCAGGGCUUCACGCAUGCUACAAUGGCUGGUACAGAGAGUGGCGAGCCUGUGAGGGUGAGCGAAUCUCGGAAAGCCGGUCUCAGUUCGGAUUGGGGUCUGCAACUCGACCUCAUGAAGUCGGAGUCGCUAGUAAUCGCAGAUCAGCAACGCUGCGGUGAAUACGUUCCCGGG